RNAcentral lists this ribosomal RNA (429 nucleotides) under Bacteroidota bacterium. RNAcentral describes it as "Bacteroidetes bacterium partial 16S ribosomal RNA". It matches the Rfam family "Bacterial small subunit ribosomal RNA", at positions 355 to 776 of the family's 1533-position model. The record is from RNAcentral. Lineage: Bacteria; Pseudomonadati; Bacteroidota.
UAGGGAAUCUUCGGCAAUGGGGGGAACCCUGACCGAGCAACGCCGCGUGAGUGAAGAAGGUUUUCGGAUCGUAAAGCUCUGUUGUUAAGGAAGAACGAGUGUGAGAAUGGAAAGUUCAUACUGUGACGGUACUUAACCAGAAAGGGACGGCUAACUACGUGCCAGCAGCCGCGGUAAUACGUAGGUCCCGAGCGUUGUCCGGAUUUAUUGGGCGUAAAGCGAGCGCAGGCGGUUAGAUAAGUCUGAAGUUAAAGGCAGUGGCUCAACCAUUGUAGGCUUUGGAAACUGUUUAUCUUGAGUGCAGAAGGGGAGAGUGGUAUUCCAUGUGUAGCGGUGAAAUGCGUAGAUAUAUGGAGGAACACCGUUGGCUAAAGCGGCUCUCUGGUCUGUAACUGACGCUGAUGCUCGAAAGCAUGGGGAGCGAACAGG